CCUACGGGAGGCAGCAGUGAGGAAUAUUGGUCAAUGGGCGCGAGCCUGAACCAGCCAAGUAGCGUGAAGGAUGACUGCCCUACGGGUUGUAAACUUCUUUUAUAAAGGAAUAAAGUUAGGCACGUGUGCCUUUUUGUAUGUACUUUAUGAAUAAGGAUCGGCUAACUCCGUGCCAGCAGCCGCGGUAAUACGGAGGAUCCGAGCGUUAUCCGGAUUGAUUGGGGUUAAAGGGAGCGUAGAUGGGUUGUUAAGUCCAUUGUGAAAGUGGGCGGCUCAACCGUAAUAUUGCAGUUGAUACUGGCAGUCUUGAGUACAGUAGAGGUAGGCGGAAUUCGUGGUGUAGCGGUGAAAUGCGGAGAUAUCACGAAGAACUCCGAUUGCGAAGGCAGCGUACUAGACUGCCACUGACAUUGAUGCUCGAAAGUGUGGGUAUCAAACAGGAUUAGAUACCCCAGUAGUC
RNAcentral lists this ribosomal RNA (460 nucleotides) under uncultured bacterium. RNAcentral's name for it is "partial 16S ribosomal RNA". It matches the Rfam family "Bacterial small subunit ribosomal RNA", at positions 338 to 795 of the family's 1533-position model. The record is from RNAcentral.